CGAGUGCACACUACAGGAGAAAGGUAGAGAAUUGGGACGCACUGCAUAUCCUUCCAAAAUGACAGAACCAACUGUAUCCCACUCAGUAAAUACUCAGGUCAUGCAAUCACAUGAAAACUCUGAUAGUGACACGAGCCAACAAACAGAGUACAGCCUGCUGCAAGUGAACGGGGCAUGGAACAGACAGACUGGCGGACAGACUCAGAAGGAGGGACGGUUAUCAGCUGCUAAAAUUUUCCAGAGCACCUCAGAACAUGGCCUCUCCUGGACAGUGGUCAGCCCUAUUGUGUUCACCUACAGAGUGAUCCAAUGCCACAACCUGCUGGAUGUUGGGAAUGACACACUGCUAUGUGGUCAUAUAGAGGACCAGGAUGAGCUCAAGGCCUUCAGAAGCAACACCAAGCCCAUCAAACGCUUCAUUAUCAUUGAUGAGACAGUCAAUCAGCUCUAUGGCUCCCAGGUCACCAGGUAUUUUGAGGCCAGAAAUGUUCUUUAUAGGAUCCUCCCACUGCCCACUACAGAGGAGAACAAGUCCAUGGAGCUUGUGACCAGGAUUCUGGAGGAGGUCCACAAGUUUGGCAUAGACAGGCGCUCUGAGCCCAUCAUUGCUAUUGGAGGCGGGGUGUGUCUGGAUGUGGUGGGCCUAGCUGCUUCUCUCUACCGGAGGCGAACCCCCUAUAUCCGUGUCCCGACCACCCUGCUUUCCUACAUUGAUGCCAGUGUGGGGGCCAAAACUGGAGUCAACUUUGCCAAUGGUAAGAACAAGCUGGGGAGUUACAUACCUCCGGUCGCAACAUUUUUAGACCGGACCUUCAUCCAAACUGUUCCUCGCAGGCAGGUUUCUAAUGGAAUGGCAGAAAUGUUAAAGAUGGCUCUGAUGAAACACAGGGGCCUGUUUGAGCUCCUGGAGACUAAAGGCAAGUACCUAUUGGACUCAAGUUUCCAAUCCCAUGACAAGAUCAGUGGCUGCUGUGACCUGGAAGAUGCUGCCUCUUCGUCCAUGCGGAUUGCCAUAGAAACCAUGCUAGAGGAGUUGGCUCCCAAUCUGUGGGAGGAUGACCUGGACAGACUGGUGGACUUUGGCCAUCUAGUCAGCCCUGAGCUAGAAAUGAAAGUGCUGCCUGCUCUGCUCCACGGGGAGGCGGUGAACAUUGACAUGUCCUUCAUGGUGUACGUGGCCCACCAGAAAGGGCUCCUGACAGGAGAGGAGAAGGCCCGGAUCAGCCACUGCAUGGUGGGUUUGGAGCUGCCUGUGUGGCACCAGGACUGCACUCUGGCCCUGGUGCAGAAGUCUCUGAGCGAACGACUGAAGCACUCUGCAGGGUCCCUGAGGAUGCCUCUUCCCACAGGACUGGGAUGUGCAGAAAUCUUCCAUGAAAUCAGUGAUGAAAUCCUGUGCCAGGCUUUCAAGAUCUGGUGUGAUGAACUUGGUUCUUCUUGA
Molecule: long non-coding RNA, 1441 nt
Organism: Oncorhynchus kisutch (coho salmon)
Lineage: Eukaryota; Metazoa; Chordata; Actinopteri; Salmoniformes; Salmonidae
Source: Ensembl